Molecule: ribosomal RNA, 439 nt
Filed under: uncultured bacterium
Lineage: Bacteria
Description: partial 16S ribosomal RNA
Rfam family: Bacterial small subunit ribosomal RNA
Source: RNAcentral
CCUACGGGUGGCAGCAGUGGGGGAUAUUGCACAAUGGAGGAAACUCUGAUGCAGCGACGCCGCGUGAGGGAAGACGGUCUUCGGAUUGUAAACCUCUGUCUUUGGGGAAGAAAAUGACGGUACCCAAAGAGGAAGCUCCGGCUAACUACGUGCCAGCAGCCGCGGUAAUACGUAGGGAGCGAGCGUUGUCCGGAAUUACUGGGUGUAAAGGGAGCGUAGGCGGGCGAGAAAGUUGAAUGUUAAAUCUACCGGCUUAACUGGUAGCUGCGUUCAAACCUUCUUGUCUUGAGUGAAGUAGAGGCAGGCGGAAUUCCUAGUGUAGCGGUGAAAUGCGUAGAUAUAACUUAGAACCCCGAUAGCGAAGGCAGCUUACCAGACUGUUACUGACGCUGAAGCACGAGAGCGUGGGUAGCGAACAGGAUUAGAUACCCCAGUAGUC